This 414-nucleotide ribosomal RNA is filed under the name uncultured prokaryote. RNAcentral's name for it is "bacterial SSU rRNA". It matches the Rfam family "Bacterial small subunit ribosomal RNA", at positions 505 to 918 of the family's 1533-position model. The record is from RNAcentral.
GUGUCAGCAGCCGCGGUAAUACGUAGGGUGCGAGCGUUAAUCGGAAUUACUGGGCGUAAAGCGUGCGUAGGCGGCUCGUUAAGUCAGAUGUGAAAGCCCUGGGCUCAACCUGGGAACGGCAUUUGAAACUGGCGAGCUAGAGUUUGGGAGAGGAGAGUGGAAUUUCAGGUGUAGCGGUGAAAUGCGUAGAGAUCUGAAGGAACACCAGUGGCGAAGGCGACUCUCUGGCCUAAAACUGACGCUGAGGUACGAAAGCGUGGGUAGCAAACAGGAUUAGAUACCCUGGUAGUCCACGCCGUAAACGAUGUCAACUAGCCGUUGGCUCUCUUAGAGAGUUAGUGGCGCAGCUAACGCAUUAAGUUGACCGCCUGGGGAGUACGGCCGCAAGGUUAAAACUUAAAUGAAUUGACGGGG